CUAUGUUUUGUUACAUGAAAGGAAGGGAAUCUAGCUGCCUUCUCCUCUGCAAAACACAAAACUAGUGAGAUAAGGCUGUUAAAAGAAUGAAUGCCAUCAUGUCUUCUGUAAUUUGGAGAAUUUCUCUUUAGCUGAUAUUUUGAACACAGACAAAAUGCUGAAUAUAUAAUGCCCGGAGACAACUAAUCUAAUAAGCCCUAAGAAAAGGCAGUGUUUAAAUGGAAAUUAGCGGUAUGAAAUUUAAAAGGAGCAUGAGGUAGGCGUGUCAGGAUAGCUGAGGCCAUAAUGAGCAGUGACCUUUUCUCAAAUACUCUUAAAUCUGUUGCCCAGUCUAGCCAACUAGUCAGCCAAAUGCAUCAUCAUUUGAGAAAAUGUUCUAACCUGAGUCUAGAUUUGCUUGGAUAUGAAGGGUGCUAAAUAUGUUACCACCCCCCACAAAAAUAUAUGCCACUUUGGCAUGAGGAUUAUUUUGAGCUAAAGGCAAUUGAGAACCAGCAGAUGGAGGAAGAGCUCUAAUUUCCUCUAACUGCCUAAAACUAAAGAAUAAAUUUUCCCUUUUGUAAAGAAAAUUUACAUUUAAUAAGGAAAUUUUCAUUUGUAAAAGUGCCUCCAUACCAGGAAGAAAGCUACUCAGGAUACAACUCUUAUCACUGAGACACUCUUAUCUGCAUAACAAGGCAAUCCUUAUUUACUAUACAUUUCUUCCCCUCACCUUCCCAUAACUUGUCUUCCCCAUACAGAAGCCCCAAGCCCCUUUUCCUUUGCUUAAUAAGAGGGUAUAUGAAUCUCAAUCAUCUGGCUGCCUCCUUGAGCCACAUUUUUUUUUUUCUGUGAUUGGGAGUCACAUUUCUUUUCUCUGCUGCAUACAUAUACAAUUAGAACUUUUUUUGUUGUUUUUUGUUUUUUGUUUUCUCUCUCUCUCUCAUUAAUCUGUCUUUCAUCAGUUUGAUUUAUGGGCUUUAGUCACUGAACCUAGAACGAGAGAGGAAAAUGGUUUUUUUUCCCUCGCCUUCAGAAGCUGUAUACAUUCUAGCAAAGAUGUUGAUUGUUCUUUCUAUGUACUCUACAACAGAGGUCCCCAACAUUUUUGGCACCAGAGGCUGGUUUCAUGGAAGAUAACUUUUCCACAGAUGAGGAGGGGACAGUUUCAACAUGAAACUGUUCCAUCUUGUAAGGAGUGCACAACCUACAUUCCACACUUGCACAGUUCAUGCUCCUAUUAGAAUCUAAUGCCCCAGCUCAUCUGACAGGAGGCAGACCUCAGGCAGUAACGCUCACUCACCCACCACUCACCUCCCCUCUGUGGCCUACUUUCUAACAGGCCACAGACUGGUACCAGUUGGGGACCCCUGCUCUGUAACACCUCUGAAAGGAGUUUAAUCUAGAUUGCAGGGAAACUCAAAUAUGCUAACAUAAGCCAAGAGCUCUUCCUCAAAUGGGGAAGAUUAGUGACAGACUUCUGGGCUGUCCAAGUUCUUGGGGCACUUCAUGGCUCAUACAGCUGGUAAAGCUCUGCACCAUGUUUCUCAUGUUUGACCUAACAUCCUGUAUCUCCAUUGUAUUUCAUACCACGUGUCUCCCCAGCCCAAAUUCAAAAGAGCAUUUAAGACCUUCAAACAGGAUCUGAAAGGAUGACCCUUUGAAAUGGGUCAUUACUAGUGCAAAGAACAGUUUCCACCAAUAAGAAGUUCCCAUUUACUCCUAAAGGGCAAAGAUUAUAUUUCAUUGAUAUUUGUGGGUUAUGUUCCCCACACCUCAACCCCAGUACAUGGCACUAUGCCUAGUUCAAAUGAACACAGCAGGAGUUUGUGGAGGAGGAAAAACUUUUUCUGUGUUCCUUAGGAGGCCUGCAAAUUAAACUGGGAAAAAAAAAAAAAAAAAAAAAAAG
Macaca fascicularis (crab-eating macaque) is the source of this 1888-nucleotide long non-coding RNA. Lineage: Eukaryota; Metazoa; Chordata; Mammalia; Primates; Cercopithecidae. The record is from Ensembl.